CGGGGUGCAGCAGGCGCGAAAACUUUACAAUGCUGGCAACAGCGAUAAGGGGACCUUGAGUGCCAGGAUACAAUCCUGGCUGUCGUGAUGCCUAAAAAGCAUUAUAUAGCAAGGGCCGGGCAAGACCGGUGCCAGCCGCCGCGGUAACACCGGCGGCUCGAGUGGUAACCGCUAUUAUUGGGUCUAAAGGGUCUGUAGCCGGCUUGGUUAGUCUCUUGGGAAAUCCGGCAGCUUAACUGUCGGGCUUUCUGGAGAUACUGCCAGGCUUGAGACCGGGAGAGGUGAGAGGUACUUCAUGGGUAGGGGUGAAAUCUUGUAAUCCUUGAAGGACCACCAGUGGCGAAGGCGUCUCACCAGAACGGAUCUGACGGCAAGGGACGAAAGCUAGGGGCACGAACCGGAUUAGAUACCCGGGUAGUCCUAGCCGUAAACGAUACUCGCUAGGUGUCGGCCACGGUGCGACCGUGGUCGGUGCCGUAGGGAAGCCGUGAAGCGAGCCACCUGGGAAGUACGGCCGCAAGGCAGAAACGAAAAGGAACUCGCGGGGGAGCAC
This 553-nucleotide ribosomal RNA is filed under the name uncultured archaeon. RNAcentral's name for it is "bacterial SSU rRNA". It matches the Rfam family "Archaeal small subunit ribosomal RNA", at positions 326 to 879 of the family's 1478-position model. The record is from RNAcentral.